This 54-nucleotide transfer RNA is filed under the name Physaloptera rara. Its description in RNAcentral is "tRNA-Gln". Lineage: Eukaryota; Metazoa; Nematoda; Chromadorea; Rhabditida; Physalopteridae. The record is from RNAcentral.
UUAAGAUUAGUUUAAUAAAAAUAUUUAAUUUUGGUUUAAAAGAUUGAUCUUAAA